Molecule: small nucleolar RNA, 104 nt
Organism: Hemibagrus wyckioides
Lineage: Eukaryota; Metazoa; Chordata; Actinopteri; Siluriformes; Bagridae
Product: small nucleolar RNA SNORA49
Exons: 1
Source: RefSeq, a predicted model, not a curated record
CCUCCCCUUCCUUACUCCAGCCACUCUGACUCUGGUGUGGUCUGGCAUUGACGGGGGAAACAUGAAGUGCUCCACCACAUGCCUUCACUGUGGUCAUGGUCAGU